GAGGGUAUAGCUCAGUAGAGGGUAGGGUGUGUGCUUAGCAUACACAGGGUCCUGGGUUCAAUCCCCAGUACCUCCA
This 76-nucleotide transfer RNA is filed under the name Camelus bactrianus (Bactrian camel). It matches the Rfam family "tRNA". Rfam says of the family: Transfer RNA (tRNA) molecules are approximately 80 nucleotides in length. Their secondary structure includes four short double-helical elements and three loops (D, anti-codon, and T loops). Lineage: Eukaryota; Metazoa; Chordata; Mammalia; Artiodactyla; Camelidae. The record is from Rfam by way of RNAcentral. RNAcentral also lists the same sequence under 2 other names.